RNAcentral lists this long non-coding RNA (368 nucleotides) under Cricetulus griseus (Chinese hamster). RNAcentral describes it as "lncRNA (ENSCGRG00015040623.1)". Lineage: Eukaryota; Metazoa; Chordata; Mammalia; Rodentia; Cricetidae. The record is from RNAcentral.
AGAAGGCAGGACAAAUCUGGACCUGGGAAGGAAGUAAAGAAUACAGUUCCUCUGAGGACAUAAAAAAAUCUCAGAACUUCCCUGUCCUGUGUGUCCACUGUGCCACCCAUAUUUCUGGAGGCUUCACCCAUGAAGGCAUUCCAUUCCAUUCAAGGAGGAUCUGUCUGACUUGGAACUUGCUAAGUAGAGCAGGCUGUCCCCUAACUCACAGCCAUCUGCCAGCUGAGAUUAAAGAAUUUCAUUUUGUCAACUCUUCUCUGACCCGGCAGGCCCAUGGUGUGACUUCAUGUGGACAUCCAGGUGUUACAUGCCUCAGAGCAAAUGACCUGAAAAUGACUGAUGAAGACAGGCUGGUGGUAUGCUAUUAG